AAGUCGUAACAAGGUUUCCGUAGGUGAACCUGCGGAAGGAUCAUUACUGAGUUAGGGUCUCAUCUCGAGCCCGAACCUCCAACCCUUUGUUUAAAACACUUUGUUGCUUUGGCAGGCCCGUCUGACAAUCCUUUUACCGGGAUCGACGACCGCCGGGGGCGUUUAGUCACCUCUGGUCAGUGCUUGCCGACAGCCUAUUCAAAAUUCUUUAUUAAAUAAUGUCUGAAAAAUUAUAACUAAAUAUAAUUAAAACUUUUAACAACGGAUCUCUUGGUUCUG
Molecule: unclassified non-coding RNA, 279 nt
Filed under: air metagenome
Description: partial contains small subunit ribosomal RNA, internal transcribed spacer 1, and 5.8S ribosomal RNA
Rfam family: Eukaryotic small subunit ribosomal RNA (bases 1-46)
Source: RNAcentral